GAUGAACGCUAGCUACAGGCUUAACACAUGCAAGUCGAGGGGCAGCGGGAUUGAAGCUUGCUUCCAUUGCCGGCGACCGGCGCACGGGUGAGUAGCGCGUAUCCAACCUUCCGUACACUCAGGGAUAGCCUUUCGAAAGAAAGAUUAAUACCUGAUGGUAUGAUGAGAUUGCAUGAUAUCAUCAUUAAAGAUUUAUCGGUGUACGACGGGGAUGCGUUCCAUUAGGUAGUAGGCGGGGUAACGGCCCACCUAGCCAACGAUGGAUAGGGGUUCUGAGAGGAAGGUCCCCCACAUUGGAACUGAGACACGGUCCAAACUCCUACGGGAGGCAGCAGUGAGGAAUAUUGGGCAAGGGACGAGAGUCUGAACCAGCCAAGUAGCGUGAAGGAUGAAGGUCCUACGGAUUGUAAACUUCUUUUAUAAGGGAAUAAACCCUCCCACGUGUGGGAGCUUGUAUGUACCUUAUGAAUAAGCAUCGGCUAACUCCGUG
RNAcentral lists this ribosomal RNA (490 nucleotides) under uncultured bacterium. RNAcentral's name for it is "partial 16S ribosomal RNA". It matches the Rfam family "Bacterial small subunit ribosomal RNA", at positions 28 to 507 of the family's 1533-position model. The record is from RNAcentral.